This 253-nucleotide ribosomal RNA is filed under the name uncultured bacterium. RNAcentral's name for it is "partial 16S ribosomal RNA". It matches the Rfam family "Bacterial small subunit ribosomal RNA", at positions 524 to 776 of the family's 1533-position model. The record is from RNAcentral.
UACGUAGGUGGCAAGCGUUGUCCGGCUUUACUGGGCGUAAAGAGCGCGCAGGCGGUCGUUCAAGUCGCGUGUGAAAGCCCCCGGCUCAACUGGGGAGGGUCACGCGAUACUGAUCGACUCGAAGGCAGGAGAGGGAAGUGGAAUUCCCGGUGUAGUGGUGAAAUGCGUAGAUAUCGGGAGGAACACCAGUGGCGAAGGCGGCUACCUGGCCCAUUCUUGACGCUGAGGCGCGAAAGCUAGGGGAGCAAACGGG